AUUCUUAAGAUACAUUUAGUUGUUUCUUCAUUUCUAUGAACAACUUAUACUUAAUUUCAGAGUCUAUUCUUAUAUUUCAGUCAUAUGCUUACAUCUACAUUCAAGUCUUGAAGAAUUUUCAAGGUGAAAUAAACAAUUCAGUUGGCUGAAUUUUCAUCUCUGGAUGGGAGGAGACUGGUAAAAAAUAAACACGUAUACAUAGCUGUUACUUUGAGGCAAGCUUAGUGUUUUAGAUGCAUUGAUUCAUUAGAGAGGAAGAAAGUGAUGCAUAGAAACGUUAAGUCACAUGCCCAAAAUGCCAUAGCUCAAAAAACCAAGAUGCAAAACCAGGCCGACUUGCUCCCAUCUUGCUUCUUAAUCACUCUGUUAUUCUGCAUCUCACACACACACAUACACACAAACACCCUGCAUAUCCAAGUAGGAAGAGGAUUUUUUUCCAGUGAUCUAAUUAUCUUAUGCUACAAUUGUAAUAACUAUAGUUAUCACAGGUGUAUUGGUUAUGCUUUCUCAGUCAAUAUUCAGCCAAUUUGACUAAGAUGAAAAUCUCAUUUGCAAUUAAAGAAACUUUAAAAAGGAAAGGAAUUCUGCUAAUGCUUUUGAGCCCUUAUUUAUAUAGUAAAUCUCUUCCUCACUUCACUCUCAUUAAAUGAAACAUUAUAAUUAAUUCUUGUUUUCUUUCUUACUUUGGUAUAAAUAUUUCUACAAUAGUUUUAGUUAAUUAUAGUUAUUGCUGGCACUUCUGAUGAAUAACGAUUCCUGACCAAAAUAAGGCAUCCUUUUCUGAAAAGAUGAAAAUUUACAAGUACAGAAAAAGCAAGUGCCAUAUUUUGUUUUUGUUGAAGUCUUCUAGUUAUUUUUUUCAGUCCUAUUUCUUAAAAUUAAAUGUGAAGAUCCUUGUUACACUGAAAUUAAUUCAUAGUUCUGGGUUUGAAAUUAUAUUUUUUUCUCAACUUUAGCUCUGUUAGUCUUCAUGUAACACAGAUAAAUGAAUGCCCUUUCAAAUACUUAUUAAUAAUUUCAUAAUUUCAUGUGAAUGCAACAAUGAUCAGUAAUAUUAAUCUCUCUCUGGGAAAGUAUAAUUUAUUAAUCUUUUUCAUGAUAAAUUGAUGCAAUUUUAAUAGCAAUAUUUAAUUUUUUUCUAAAAGUAGUAACUUCUUUUUCUGAUUAUAUGGCAGAAUAUGUGGCUGUACAUUAACCUUUAUUUAUAAUAAGUGUAAGGAUUCCUUAUAGAAUAAUAUGAUUUAUUUAUCAUAAAAAAUGUUAUAUGUCACUGGAAAAAUAUUUUAAGAUUUCAUGAGUUCUUUCAACUUCUUAAUAAUCUUUUAGAAGUAAAAACAAAUUUUAACAAAGCUACUAGGAUCAAAUAGCUAAUGUAUAUUUAUCUUAUUUUUCUAAAAAUGUUGUUUCCAGUAAUAUAUUCUCAACUCCAGAGUUUAAGCAAUCAAGCUUGAAAUAAUUAUAUCAUUUGCUAUCUGAAUUUAGAGCAACUGACAGAGUUGGGAAUGACUUUCCCAAGGUCAUGGUUCACUUUCAAAAAUACAGCAUUAAUCAUGUCACCCCAUGUAUUAAAUUUUUCCAUGGGCAUACACCAUCAGAGGGCCUAAGGACAGUUCCUCUUUGCCCAGCACUGCCCCUGCCAGUGCUUGCCCACGUCAUUGAGGCCUGAGGAUCAACUCAACCUGCCUGAGUCCAGACACCUUGCCCAGGGAUUUGAAGAUUCACCCAACCCAUCUACCACCACUGGUGUCUAUGCACUCCUCCUAGCGGUCUAAGGACAUGUCUGUCAAGCUUGCCAUCACCACUGCUGCCAGAACCCACCUGCAUGAGCCACAUGGGGACCUGAGGAUGGGUCCUUUCAGCCUACUACCACCACUGCUGAUGUCCAUGUGUACCGCUUGGGGAUCUGAGGAUAGGUUCAGUGCUACUACUGCCUUCACUGAUGCCAUGCAUGCCACCCAUGGACCCAAGGACCUAACUGCCCACCCAGCCCACCACUGCUACUGCCAGAACCUGAGUAAGCUGCCUGGACGUGCUACCACGAUACCUGCAUAUACCACCCAGGGGCCUAAAGACUGGCAUGCUCAGCUCACUGUUGCCACCAGUGGGGCCCAAGGAUUAACCUACCUUGUGUCCCUGUCCUCAGCAAAGCCUCACCAUAGCCUCUACUAACAACUACAGCUUAAGCUGCUGAGGAACACAAAGACGUCACUGAUGCUGAUUUUAACCAAACAAAUCAUACAGAGACUACUGUACCCACCUAGAAUCAAAGCCAAAGCUCCUUAUUCAACGAACACUCUAGUUUGUCUAUAAAGAAAAACAUCUUUCCUUAUGAAACCAAAUCUAUAAAAUUGGAAGAAGCAAGUGUUUUAUCAAAAUAGAGAUAUCAUUGUAAGGACAGAAGAAACAUGAAAAGGAAACAUGACACCUCUAAUGGAACACAAUAAUUCUCCAGCAACAUACUCAAGAAAAAGAAAUUAUGAAAUUCCUGAAAAGGAAUUCAACAUAAUGAUAUUAAAGAAGCUCAGUAAAAUACAAGAGAACACAGAUAAAAAAUACAAAGAAUUCAGAAAAACAGUUUACGAUCUGAAUGAGAAAUUUGACAGAGAUAUUAUAAAAAAGAGUCAAAC
This is a long non-coding RNA of Sapajus apella (tufted capuchin), 2627 nucleotides long. RefSeq lists it as uncharacterized. The record is from RefSeq and is a predicted model, not a curated record. The transcript has 2 exons. Lineage: Eukaryota; Metazoa; Chordata; Mammalia; Primates; Cebidae.